UAGCCGUAUCUCAUUGAAAAGACUGAUUCUCAUAUGACCACUGAAGUUGAGCAAUGUCAAGCCUGGUCAGUACCUGGAUGGGUGACCAUCUGUGAAUACCAGGUGCUGUAAG
Molecule: non-coding RNA, 112 nt
Organism: Acanthosepion pharaonis
Lineage: Eukaryota; Metazoa; Mollusca; Cephalopoda; Sepiida; Sepiidae
Source: the annotation of a GenBank genome assembly